UACAGAGGGUGCGAGCGUUAAUCGGAAUUACUGGGCGUAAAGCGCGCGUAGGCGGCCACCGCAAGUCGACUGUGAAAUCUCCGGGCUUAACCCGGAAAGGUCAGCCGAUACUGCGGGGCUAGAGUGCAGAAGGGGCAACUGGAAUUCUCGGUGUAGCGGUGAAAUGCGUAGAUAUCGAGAGGAACACCUGCGGCGAAGGCGGGUUGCUGGGCUGACACUGACGCUGAUGCGCGAAAGCUAGGGGAGCAAACGGG
Molecule: ribosomal RNA, 254 nt
Filed under: uncultured bacterium
Lineage: Bacteria
Description: partial 16S ribosomal RNA
Rfam family: Bacterial small subunit ribosomal RNA
Source: RNAcentral